Molecule: non-coding RNA, 530 nt
Organism: Marmota flaviventris (yellow-bellied marmot)
Lineage: Eukaryota; Metazoa; Chordata; Mammalia; Rodentia; Sciuridae
Source: RefSeq, a predicted model, not a curated record
CCCUUCGGCUGUGGCUCUCAACAACUAACCUCACCAUAUGGUUCAGAAGCUUUUGGAGCUCUUUUGAAAUUGGUGCAAGAAAUUUUGAGAUGCUCAACAGUGCAAGCUGAAAAUGGUUUAAACUGUUGUAAGCAGAACUUAGUGGCCAAUUCUUGUGGGAGCUCAGAAGACCAGAAUGCCAAUGGGACCAAGAACAGUGAAGAAAGGGCUUGAGAGGGCUCAGAGGAGGAUACUAUUGCCCAGGAGCCCUAGACCAUCAAUCACCUCACUGGCAUCAGACAGACACAUUGCUUCAUAGAUUGAAGAAUGAGGAGCUAAGAGACAGGAAAUUGAAGCAGAGACCAAGAAUGUAUUUCUUGGCACAACAAGCCACAAAGGAGCUUCAAAUUGACAAAGAACUUGAAUAUACACUUUUUACUAGUAAACAUGAAAGAUGAUUAACAGGAUAUUGUAGUAGUGUCAUUAUAGACAUGCAAGAUAAACUGCAGUGAAAUUUCCUCACUUUUACUAAUAAAGCCAUAAUAAAAAUA